Molecule: ribosomal RNA, 301 nt
Filed under: uncultured bacterium
Lineage: Bacteria
Description: partial 16S ribosomal RNA
Rfam family: Bacterial small subunit ribosomal RNA
Source: RNAcentral
CAGCCGCCACGGUAAAACGUAGGGUGCAAGCGUUAAUCGGAAUUACUGGGCGUAAAGCGUGCGCAGGCGGUUUGUUAAGACAGAUGUGAAAUCCCCGGGCUCAACCUGGGAACUGCAUUUGUGACUGGCAAGCUAGAGUGUGGCAGAGGGGGGUGGAAUUCCGCGCGUAGCAGUGAAAUGCGUAGAUAUGCGGAGGAACACCGAUGGCGAAGGCAGCCCCCUGGGCCAACACUGACGCUCAUGCACGAAAGCGUGGGGAGCAAACAGGAUUAGAUACCCCCGUAGUCCCUGUCUCUUAUAC